Molecule: long non-coding RNA, 5598 nt
Filed under: Cinara cedri
Lineage: Eukaryota; Metazoa; Arthropoda; Insecta; Hemiptera; Aphididae
Source: RNAcentral
GGUAACUAUCCCGUUCUUAACAUUAAACUGAUAUAAGUUAUAACUUAAAAAUUUAAUAUAAUCUAAUACACUUCAAAAUGUCUAUAAAGAUAUUUCCUGUUUGAUAAAAUAAUCUUCUGUACACAAUAAACAUACAUUAAAUUGAAGUGUCUAUCUGUUAUGGUUGGUCUCUGUAACAGCUGAACUUAUUCUAGAUAUACUUUUCCUGCAAAUAAGGAUAUUUCUCAGACUAAUUUUUAUUCUAGUAUUCUACUCUUAAAAGAUAAAUUCCUGAGUUUAAGUUCAUUUAGUUUCUUAAAAACAUUAAUUUAUUCAUAAAUUAAACAAGUUCAAAUUACUGUAUAGAAAGUUUAAUAGCUGACAACAAACACGUCUGUCAUCAUUCAUUACUUAUAUCAGUGCUUAGGUACUUUUUUGAGUACUGGGCUAUAGAUACUGAAAAUAUUAAUUUUUUAAAUCGUUACAUUUUAUAGACCAAAUUAAAGCCACUGAUCUUAAAAGUAAGUAAUUACUUUAAAGUUUUUGAAGUCGAUUAUAGUUGGUAAAUACCAAAUAUAUUCUACUGUUAUAUUUGUAUCAUGAAUUAAGAUAUAUAAAGAUAUAUUAAGGUAUACAGGAUCCAACCGUAUUAUCAGUAAAUCAAAAACAUUCUUAAUUUUAAACAAAAUACUUGGCGCAAUCUUAUGUAAUAUGUAUGAAUUAUUAAGGUAACUAUUUUAAAUUAAAUCGUGCUAGGAUAAUAGCAAAAUCGCGAUAUCUGAUAAUACUGACAAUAGUUAUUUUAAUUUUAUUUUUUUUAAAUUUAUUUUAAAAAACGGGCCAUAGCCCAAAUACAGAAAAACUUCACAUGCUGGCUUUAUAUAAAAAUCACAUAAGCAAAUUGACAGUACUACAUGAUUACAAUACUAAUUUACAAAUAAACAGAAAUGACAGGUUCUCGUUGGCAAUGCGCAUCAUCCUAGCCAUUGGUUGAUUACGCGAGUAGUUGAUGGUGCAGUGUUUAAUGGCGAAAGGAUAAGAUGAUUGAGACCAGAGGUAAGGCGUUCUAAACAAACCUGGCUAAGUAACGGAGGACAGUUUAUCAUUUCCUCAUUAUGCUUCUCUAAGAACAGUUGGUUAGUAAUUCUUUACCUAGGGAUCUUUGCCAGGGAUUGCAGACAAAACGCAUUCAACACCAAAUCAUACUUAUGCGACUAGUGGUCAAUUUUUAGCAAAUAAGCAGCAAAGCUCAAGAAUUUUUACUGGACUCUCUUUAUAUGAACUCUAUUUUCCCUGUGUGUGGACUCCAAAUGACUACACCAAAUUCUAGAAUCGAAUUAACAACAGCACAGUAUAGGGCUUUUAGAAGAGUAAACAAUUUAAAUUGUUGCAAAUUCGCUUUAAAAAUCCGAGCGUUUUUAGAUUUGCAGCAAGAUGCUUCGAUGUAGGCCUGGAAGUUUAGAUUUUAAUCAAAUAAAAUCCCAAGAUCAUUGACUGAAUUACCCAGAAUAAUAAGGACGGUACUAGAUAGACAGUACGAGAAUACUAGAGGACUAUGUUUUCUACGAAAUGGGAUUGAGCAGCAUUUGGCAACAUUAAACUGUAGUCCGAUAUUAUUAGCCCACCCAGUCAAAGCAUUCAAAACACUUUGUAAUAAAUUAUUGCAAUUAGGCAAUCAUUUACAGUACGUACUUUCACAAAUAAUUUCGAUUUCGAUAAGAAUUCCGAUUUUUUCAUUAAGCAGUUUUACCUGGGAAGUUAAAGCGGCUUUUUCUUCCUUGAUCAAGCUCAACUCAAUAGAUUUAUUAUCAAUUACAGAUGCAAAGAAUUUGUGGCCAGCAACACAAUAAUAAUCGAUAUAGUAUACAUGAGUUCAAUAACAGUAAUACAGAGUACGAGUAACUAAAAGAUAAAUGAGCUCGUAGCUCGUAGCAACGAAAAUAUGGCACGUCUAUUGAGGCUUAAGGUUAAGACUGUAUUGUAAAUACAAAUGGUUUUAGUUUGUUUUCAUAUCACUUCUAUUUUAAAGCACUAGCUGUCUCGCCACACAGUAGGACCUACAUACUUCAAGAAAAAUACUAAUGAGACGCUUUGUUUCAUAUCCUGUUAGUACAUCUCAAUUCAUGAUUUGUACAGACAUAGUUGAUAAAAACCUUUAUUUAAAAAAAAAUUUGCUAUUAUUGAUUAUAUACUUUAUUGUGACGUCAAGUAUUUUGUUUAUAUUGGAAGUACGUUAUGUGUUUUUAUCUACCUACUUAUAUGUUAUAAUGAUCCUAAUUAUUUUAUACUUUUUCUAGGUGAAUCGGGAUUAAAUAAUUUUAUCAAAUCAUAUUGGUCGUAUAGUAAGUUAUAUAAGAUAAAUAAUAAAUUUUCUUAACUUGUACUUAGACAUGGAUAACAAAUUAAAAAUCCAAGAAGUAUUUAAAUACCUACGUUACCUAACGUACCUAAGUUACCAAGAAAAGCUAGAUUUGGAAAGUUGGCUUAAUUUCCCACUUGGGUUUAGAUAAAAAAAUAUCUUACUCAUAUAAUAUAUUAAUAAUUACUAUUUAAUGCAUGCUGCAUCCCCUUUCAUUAAAGAUAUUUUCUAAGCUUGUCACUUUUAAUUUAUAUGUGAAUUGACAGUAUGAUAAUUUAGUAGAAAUCAUUCUAAACUAUAUUCAAUGCAUUUAUUAUAAAUUUGUAAUAGAUAACUUUAUUUUUUAGCACAAAACGACCCAAAAGAAUUGAUUAGUAAGUUUUAUUUAAAUUUAUUAACACGAUCAGACAUUUUUUUUUAAAUACUUAAAGUAUUACAAACCAUAGAUUAAUAUUAUAUGGAAAUAACCAUUAUUUACAACUCAUUUUAUAAUUCAUUUAAUGAUUGGUCAAAUUUAAUAUCUGUUUAAAUCGCACUACAACAUUUAUUUUAUUUUAUACGGGCGUGACUCACCCGUAGUAGUAAUUCAAUAAAUUAGCACGUAGGCAAUUCAGUGGAAGUGAAAAACGGAACCAGGAAUUUAAGUAUUUAUUGAGCAGGUAUUAGUGUAAGAACGAAGGGUGGACGUGAGAAAGACGUAUCAUGCUGUCUAUAAGAUCGCCCAAAACUAUAUUUGAUAGUGUGCAAAGGGAUUGCAAAAGUGUUGGUAGAGCAGGUCAGACGUAGAGGGACUCGAAAGUUGAUGAGGAAAAGGAGAGAAGGUGCGUCCACAGAACCACCAAUGAGGUUACGAGGGUAAUGUUAACUUUUCUAUUGGCUAGCGUUGGUAAACCAAGCACGUGGAGAACAGAAGAGUAUUUAUGUAACAGGUGGGAGAUAUUCCAUGGCCAGCAUAGGACAGAAAACGUCUUUGAACUCACUCGAUAAUUGCAGAGUCGGAGUCUGUAAUGGGAUCCUACGAAAUUUAAUCAUACUCAAGCAGGGGUCGCAUUAAGAAACAGUAAAGUCUUCAGUGAAGAGGUAAGCUUGAAGUCAGACGAUAUUCGUCUUACGAACCCUAGAGUCUUAUACGCCUUACAACUUAUUGAUUGGAUAUAAUAGAUAUGAUAGUAGAAAUCAAGGUCAGAAGAUAAAAAAAACCCUUACAUUUUUUUUAUGAUACAAUAUUAAUAUUGUUAAUCGAGUAGGUGUGGCUAAUUAAAGUAUGAGAUCUAGAGAAAGACACAGACUGGCACUUGUUCACGUUCAAAUUAAGAUCAAUAGCUUUGACAGUCGGAGUCUUUAGUAAUUCGCCAGAGUAUUUUUAGGUCGUCUGUAAAAGCUGGGAUAUCGUAAUUAGGAAUUAUUUGCUUGCUGCCGUUAAUAAACAGGGAAAAUAUUACAGGUGAAAGGUGGCCUUCAUAAGGAACACCUGAAGGAAUAAAAGAGACAUCAGAUUUACAUUCAUUAAUUUUCACCCAUUAUUACCUACCUUAUAGGUAUGAUUCGAACCAAAUUAAUAGUGGAUCAUCAAAUUCAAUCUAACUAGGUACAUAGAGUAAAAUGAUGUGAACAACUCUGUAAAAAGCUUUUUCAAAUUCCGUAAAUAUAACACCAACCAGGCACUUACUUUCAAAAUCUUUGAGAAUAAAAUUAUUGAGGACAAAUAAGUUCAUCAUGGCUGAGCGUUCUGGCCUGAAGCCAUACUUUCUGUCAAUAGGAGUCGGGCUAACUGAAGGCAGGCAGAAUAUUUUAGAGUACGAGUUUUACAAAAAGCUUUGGAAUAUGGCCUAAAAUAGAAAUUGAUCUGUAAUUCCUGACACAUGAUUUAACCCCAGAUUUAAAAAUGAGGGUGAUGGUGCUUAGUUUCCAGAUGGAUAGACAUAUCUCAUCGUCUAAUGAAUAUCUAAAGGUUUGUCAGAGUAGGGCGGAAAAAAACGAUUUAAGGUUUAAAAAGAAGGUUCCUGGAAGUCCAUCAGGUUCUGUAGAAUUCACGUUUUUUAAUUUAUCAAAACCAGACUUUAUACCAGCAAUACUAAAAAAUCAAUUAUUAGGAAGUUUAUAAUACUGGUGAAGAAAAUUAAUUUUACUCUUGAACAAGGAAACGGAGUAGACUGAGUUAAAGAACUAAGACAAUAGUUUAAUAACUAUAGGCCUAUAUUAUGAAUGAGCAGUUCUGAUGGUAUGUAUGAACAAAAUUUGCUAUCAGUCUAGUAAUCACAAACCUUUUGAAAAACCCUUCAAAUAUUUAGGAAAUCGUUCUUAAAUAUUCGAAACUUGAUAUACGUUAAAUAUUUGACCGUGUGAACCCGGCUUUAUAUAAUUUCAUAAUCCAUGAUAAAUGACUAUCAAUUUAAAAUAUUAUUUUGUUAUUUUAAAAUAUUUUGUUUAUCAAUAUAAUUGUUUGUGCAUGUUUUUUUUUUUUUUUUUUUAUCAAAAAAAUAAAAAUGAAUUUUAUAAAUAUAUUCUAUCUACUUAAAUUAAAAAAAAAAAAAAUAAAUUUUUAGAAAAGUUGAUCUCAAAAUACGAGUGUUAUACCAGAUGAUAAAGAAAUAAAUCUAUAAUGUGUAUAUUAAUAAAAUUAUUUUUUUUAAGCUUUUAACAAUUAUUUUAUAACUAAUGAUAACAAAUUAAUUAUCAUGCCAAUUAAAAUGAUAAAUAAAUUGUCAUGUUUUUGUUUUAGUGUACCCACUGAAGUAUUACACCCAUCUUAUUACCAGGUUAUCAAAAUGUAUGUAAUAAUAUAGUGUAAAUCAUUUACAUAUAUUGGGUGUAUUAAAUAUAGCCAUAAUAAUAUAAUGAUACUUUUAUUUUAAAGGUGCGUUUAGCUUUAGACUGUAGCCUAAAUACGAACGGACGAAAGAACGAAUGACUAUUUGCAAAUGACUUAAUAUGUCGUUUCAAACGUAAACUAACAGCUUUUGCUCCAAGAUAAUGAUAUGAUCGAAUGUCUACUGAAUUCACUUCGUAUUCGUUCAUUCAUUCAUGUUCAUUUGUUCAGGCUCAAGUUUAAAUGUACCUUACUAAUAUUCAAUACUGGCAUACUGGCUGUCCUGCACUACAUUUUCUGUGCAGAGUAUUGAAAAAUAUUUAUAUUAAUAAUACAAAUAUUUAACGAAUUCAUAAAAUUAAUUUUUGUGUUUAAUACUCACCAUUCUAAUGAUACGAAUGAUUUGUAAUAAUAGUUCCAAUUUUGAGCCCAAUCAACUGGUGUCGAAAAA